GCCCUUCCACGAAAUAUUUAAUAAGAAUUUUUUUAAAUGUUUAUGAAUUUUCGAAAAUUCCGCCCGACAACCGAUCAGACAAUAGUUUUAAGUUGAAUCAAUGCAGACAAGAUCAUUAACUGAUGCUCAUUAGCUAGUUGAUACAUUUGUCUUUUAAAAUACAACUGACAUAUAAGGAUCGUAAUGGUGCAAAGUGGAUAAAUUUAUCGGUUUCCAAGAGCAAAAUUGGCAGCGCGUCAUCCCUACAAUGGCUUCCAUUUCCACGAUUGUGAAAAUGAACUGGCGUAAUGGGGAGAUAAUUUUGACGAAGUAGAAUC
This 317-nucleotide long non-coding RNA is filed under the name Mytilus galloprovincialis (Mediterranean mussel). Lineage: Eukaryota; Metazoa; Mollusca; Bivalvia; Mytilida; Mytilidae. The record is from RNAcentral.